AUACUAGCUAUGGCAGUACAUAUUCUAAAAUUGGAACAAAACAGAGAUUAGCAUGGCCUCUGUGCAAGGAUGACACGCAAAUCCGUGAAGUGUUCCAUAUUUUU
This is a small nuclear RNA of Octopus sinensis (East Asian common octopus), 104 nucleotides long. The record is from RefSeq and is a predicted model, not a curated record. NCBI's taxonomy places the organism in Eukaryota, Metazoa, Mollusca, Cephalopoda, Octopoda, Octopodidae.